UUAAUGAGAGUUUGAUCCUGGCUCAGGACGAACGCUGGCGGCGUGCCUAAUACAUGCAAGUAGAACGCUGAUGUUUGGUGUUUACACUAGACUGAUGAGUUGCGAACGGGUGAGUAACGCGUAGGUAACCUGCCUCAUAGCGGGGGAUAACUAUUGGAAACGAUAGCUAAUACCGCAUAAGAGUGAUUAACACAUGUUAGUUAUUUAAAAGGAGCAAUUGCUUCACUGUGAGAUGGACCUGCGUUGUAUUAGCUAGUUGGUGAGGUAAAGGCUCACCAAGGCGACGAUACAUAGCCGACCUGAGAGGGUGAUCGGCCACACUGGGACUGAGACACGGCCCAGACUCCUACGGGAGGCAGCAGUAGGGAAUCUUCGGCAAUGGACGGAAGUCUGACCGAGCAACGCCGCGUGAGUGAAGAAGGUUUUCGGAUCGUAAAGCUCUGUUGUUAGAGAAGAACGUUGGUAGGAGUGGAAAAUCUACCAAGUGACGGUAACUAACCAGAAAGGGACGGCUAACUACG
Molecule: ribosomal RNA, 521 nt
Filed under: Streptococcus agalactiae
Lineage: Bacteria; Bacillati; Bacillota; Bacilli; Lactobacillales; Streptococcaceae
Description: bacterial SSU rRNA
Rfam family: Bacterial small subunit ribosomal RNA
Source: RNAcentral